Molecule: long non-coding RNA, 3308 nt
Organism: Canis lupus familiaris (dog)
Lineage: Eukaryota; Metazoa; Chordata; Mammalia; Carnivora; Canidae
Exons: 5
Source: RefSeq, a predicted model, not a curated record
GUCUCCCUCUGCCUGUGUCUCUGCCUCUCUGUGUGUGUCUCUCAUGAAGAAAUAAGUGAAAUAUUUAAAAACAAAGCAAAGAAUGGUCAAAACUCCCAACUCUGUUCUACUAGAGCUGGGUUUUAGUCCCCACUUAACCUCUGUGUGACUUCAAGAAAAGUUACAUAACCUCUCAGAGCUUCAGUUUCUCUGACUCUACUAGGUAGAGACUGGAGGUUUCUUCUUCAUGGGCUUGUGAGGAUUACACCAGAGACAGCGUAUACACUCAUGGCACGAUGCCUGAUAGACGUGCACCCUCACGAUGGGGCAGGUGCCGUCAGCAGACGUUAUUUCCCCCUUGGGCUUCCCUUGUGCUUCAUCCUGCCCACCUUCACUUCCUGUCUCCCCAGCGAGACGCGAGGGCCCUGGAUGGGGAACCGUCCCUGCUCGCCCAGGGCCCGGCUCCGAGCCUGGCUCAGGGCGGAGCUGGUGAACCGACACGUGGACGAUGGGCGGCACUCCGAGCUUGCCCUCCGUUACAUUGCCUGCAGAGGGGAUGCAGCGGUAACAGUCACAGUGGAGGCAGGAGCACCAUCGGCUUGGACGGAUUAAGGUCCCUGAAAUCUAUGGAAGGAGAUUUUACUGGUGUGUCCACCUCCUCCUGGCCAGGCCACAGCUUUCUCAGCAGCAAUGGGGUAUCAAUCAGGGACGGCGUGGAGCCGAGGGUUUCAGCCGAGCCUCCGGGAGGCCAGGCUUUGGUCUGAACUGGAAGAGCACAAAGGCCAGCGGUGUCCUGUGGUGCGCGGAGCGCGCGAGGGCCAAGAACCCGAGCUCUGCACCGCUGGGGCACCUUCCUGCCCAUUCAGACGGAGCGAGCCGCUGGAGGGGGUGCAUGAGGUUGGCGUCACCUUGUUCCUCUCCAGAGCCGCCGGGAGGAGCUAGGUGGCCAGAGCACAGCAAAGACGGAGUUGCCGUCGUCCACACAACUUGACGGAAGGCCAGGCCAGCAGGGAGAUUGUGAUGCAGGAAAGUCAACUCGGCGGGGACUUCCAGCUGUUCCUUUCCACACCCGGGGCCCACUGGCUCGAUCUGCCCUCAGCUCUCCCCCUGUUGCCGUGUUUUUGGGGUGCCUCCUACUGCCGGGACCAUGCCCUCCUCCCUAAAGUCCACACUUCCAAGCACUGGGGGGGGCAGUUGUGCUUCCUUCCACCCCCACGGUCCCACUGGUGCCCCCGUCCUGACAUCUUCCCUGUUUACGAAUGAGGCCGCAACAAAGGCAGCCUUCAACACUUCUUGCACACACCACAGUCGGGCCCCGGUGUCUCCCACACCCCUUCCCCGGGAAGGAUUCUGACUUUCUCUUGCACGGUGAUCGUCGGAGUCUCCUAUUAUUAUUUUUCCUAAAACACAGUAGCAAUCUGCCUUCAAAGAUGAAGCCAAAUGGCCAGCUCUAGAGACAAGGAUGUCCUGCCACUUUACAUGGCAGCCCUACCUCUCCAGCUUGUAGGGACUGGCUGUCCCCUUGCCCACGCCGCCCAUCACACCAGGGUCCCCCUCCCCGAGUCACGUCAGUGUUCCCUCAUGGCUGGACCACAGCCCGGGGUCCCCCAACCCGCCAGACUGCUGCUGUUGUCAGGUGGAUGCUGAUGGGUUCAUGGCACGGCUCACUGUCCCUCACACUGGGCUGGUGACCUCCUGGAGAGCCUGGAUUUUCAUGACAGGACGCCCUUGGGCCGGAGGAAGAGUGUCCAGUUUCAGGCCCUGUUCCCCUCAGCACAUUCUAUGCUGCCUGAGGAUGAACGUCCUGCCCCCGGGCCAGGGACGCAGGUGCCGGACAGCAGCCCAGAGACCUCCCGGAUCUCCUCGCGCAGGUGUCUGGGUUGUAGGGAGACCAGCUCCUCUGCGGGCUGGAGGUGGGGCUCUGGAUCAGGCACAGGGCAUCUGCAGCCCGGGCACCCGGGGACCCGUGGACACCUGGUGGCCUUUGCAGCUUCCAGAGAAUGGGGCGGGAUGUUUGUGCAGCCCUGACAUGUGCUUGGGCAGAGGCCGGAGCUCAGGGUCUAGCGCAGUGGUGACACCGCGUGUUAUGAACGUGGUGGAGCCGCACCAAAUAACCCUUGGGACCUCUGCCCCGAGCGCACACCCUGCCCUCAGCUCUCUUCUCCUGGGCAUCAUCAUUCCGUAUCGCAACCCACACACGUCAACCCUGAGUGUUCUUCACCACCUUUUAACAGCUCGUAAUUUACCCCUACUUGUCUAGUCGUCACGACUGGACAUUGGGAUGGGUUACCUUGUGUCUCCCCCGAUUCACAUGUUGGCGUCACAGUCCCCAGAAUGUCAUCUUGUUUGGAGAUGGGGUCUUUACGGAGAUGAUCAAGUUAAAAUAAGGUCAUCCUAAUGGGUCCUAAACCCAAGGACUGGCAUCCUUAGUGUUAGGGGAAAUUUGGACACAGAGACAGAGACAUGAAGUGAAGACCAUGUGAAGACUCAGGGAGAAGGCAGCUGCCCACCCGCCUCGGUCCUGGACUUCUGGCCUCCAGAACCCAGAGACAAUGAGUUCUGUUGUUGAGGCCCCCGGUCUGUGGGUCUAGCCGUCCGUCCUAGCAAAGGGAUGCAGACCUUUUCAUAUAAUAGAUAAUCCCAUGAGAGCAUCUCCACGCCUGCGUGAGCAAGGUGUGCACCUUUGCUCUUUUGCCAGGACCCGCUCACAUGCCCUCACUCCCCACGGCCCCUCCUCCCCCCUCUGUGGGCACCGUGUGCCCAUGUGUCCCUCCGCCACGGCCCCCGCCCCCGGCGGCAGUCAGCACAGAAUCGCAUCGCUGCCGGUUCACUGCUCUGCAUCCCUGGUCCUAGGCCAGUGCGGUGGGUGCUAGAUGGGUCUCUGCUGCACAAAGAUGGGGGUGGUGGUGGCUGCACUUGGAGGCUGGUGGGGAACAGUAUUGGGUUCUGGAUGGUCUUCCCAUGUGAGCCCCACGUUGUAACCAGGCGGGACGUGGAGGCUCUGAUGCCCACGCUGACUGAAGUGGAGGCCAAGGGUGGUGGCUGUGCCCUGGGACCCCGGCAGGGAGCGCAGCCAGGGCCUGCCAGUGGCGGCCAGCUGGUCAGGGAAGAAGCCACCGGCGCAGACACAACACUCAGCCUGGGCGAGACAGCCCAUCUCAGGACGAGUCUUGCUGUUUGAUCCGGAGUAAGUCGAUAGCCCUUUGUGUCAGGACAGUGGAAUUCCUUUCACCGUUAAAAUGCUAAAAAUCUGCUGCCUUAAAGUUUGUAACGUGGGUUUGAAAUUGGAACGUCAGUCUUCCAUAGAUAAUAAAAGUAUUAGGUGUUUA